This 216-nucleotide ribosomal RNA is filed under the name Glomeromycotina sp. RNAcentral describes it as "partial small subunit ribosomal RNA". The stretch from base 40 to 216 matches the Rfam family "Eukaryotic small subunit ribosomal RNA", at positions 686 to 864 of the family's 1831-position model. Lineage: Eukaryota; Fungi; Glomeromycota. The record is from RNAcentral.
GGGUCAGUAGGUUGGUCGUGCCACCGGUACGUACUGGUCUCACUGAUUCCUCCUUCCUGAAGAACCGUAAUGCCAUUAAUUUGGUGUUGCGGGGAAACAGGACUGUUACUUUGAAAAAAUUAGAGUGUUUAUAGCAAGCUAACGCUUGAAUACAUUAGCAUGGAAUAAUGAAAUAGGACGAUCGAUCCUAUUUUGUUGGUUCCUAGGAUUGACGUA